This 2008-nucleotide small RNA is filed under the name Pongo abelii (Sumatran orangutan). RNAcentral describes it as "retained intron". Lineage: Eukaryota; Metazoa; Chordata; Mammalia; Primates; Hominidae. The record is from RNAcentral.
UUAAACCAGGCUUAUUGCUCAGUCUAAUUAUCUUAACUUCUAAAGGUUGGUUCUUUCUAGAGACAGCAGGAGUUGUAGCAUAUAGGGUUGGAAAAACCUGAAACACCCUUCUCGCUGCUUAAUCUAGUUCUGACAGCAGAGUGUGAGCUCUGGAGCUCUAAGCCAUGUGAAGCGUCUGACUCAGCCUGUGGCAGUGUUUUACCCAGAGCCCUCCCUUUUCAUAGCACAGCACCCUCCACUUUGCUUAGGCAUAGAUUACAUGCUUUGCGGGAAGGAAAGCCUGAGACCAAGACACACGUGAAGUUUAUGCAGCUCUGGGAAGAAAGCCAGCAGGUUAGAGUUGUGAGCUUUGUCUCACUAGUGUUUUGCCACCUGUAUGUAGCCCGUGGGCAGCAGACUCUUCUGCAGCUCUUACCCUACUCACAGAAGUUGUGGCGAAUUGAUUUAAAUUUUUAAAGGUUCUAAGAGACUUGCUAACAGAAGAGCAUAAUAAAGAGAACAAGAAAAUCUCAAAAGCCAUAUUUUAUAAUUAUAUGAAAACCAUCAUUCACUGUGGCAUAUCUCUGUUGAAGGGGACAGGACAUCCUCAAGGGAUCCCAUGGACACCCUGUGUGUUGGGGAGUGGGGAGGAAGAAGUGACCAGAAGGGGUGGGGAGCAGCGGACAGUCCACCCUGGUUCCUCACAUGCUGGGGAACCCUGUCACUGUACCUCGCCCAUGGGCUACUGCCACUUUAACGGACUAGGGCUCAGUGCCAGCACUUCCCAGGUAAUCAGGCGUGGUCUGACCCAGGAUCAAGAAGCACAUCAUCACCAAUGACAUCAUGACAGCAAGAGAACACAGCCCUCGCCAUGGUGCCAGGGCCCGUGCAAUGCAACGGGCUUCCACCAUCGACGUGGCAGCUGACAUGCUGGGCCUCUCUCUGGCAGGAAAUAUACAAGACCCAGAUGAGCCCAUUUUAGAAUUUAGCUUAGGUAGGUAUCUUUCAUUAUUUUUUUGUUUUAAAAAAUAUUUUACUUAAAAAUGAAAACAAAAACACUACCACCAGUGCAUGGGCUUGUCUCAGAGAGCUUGCUGCUGCUGCCACCACUGCUGCAGUGUUUCUGAGAAGACGGAGCCCUCACAGCUGUGAACUUCUGUGGAUGGGAAGGCACCUUGGAGGCUCCGUGCCCACAGGCUCUUGUCUCCUCAGCAUGGGGCCCGCCCCCUUGGGGGUAUGCUCUCCACAGGUGGCUGGGGACAGGGAGGUGAGCCCACCUAGAGCUGCCAACAGAGGUCCUCCCCACCCCCACCCCAAUGGGGGAAAGGGAAGGAGGGGUUGGGGAAACCGGGCAUAGAGUUCAGCUUUGUUGCCCCUGGCUGCAAGGCCUUGUGUUGGCUGAGUUUCGCUCUCUAGCCCUCAGUUCCCUAUUGUAUAAAAGGCAACAUUGGCACCUGCAUGCUCUCUUUCUCAGGAUCAGAUAAGAAUAUACUAAAAAGUGGAUCAGAAUGUGCUGAGUCUGGGGUCAGCGAUACGUGGCAUCACUGUGCUUUCCCAGGAGGCCUGAGACGCCUCUCCAUCAGAGCCCAAUGCUACCCAGCGCUCCUCUCCCCUUUUCCCAUUCCUUGGUCAACAUUAGUUGGUGGCCUGGCACCAAUGUCCAAGAGGUGGUGUGACAUAAAAGAGGCACCUCCUGGGGAGUCAGAUGACCUGGAUUCCAGCCCUGACCAUGCCAGGCUAACCACAUGGCCUUGAGCCUGCCACUCGACCUUGCUGGAACAAUUUCCUCCUGUGCUACAUGAGGAUGCUACUGCUUGUUUGAGAGACAAAGAAGAUCAAGGUGGUUAAGCACCCCCCAGCCCCAAAAGACUUGGACAAAUUGCAAAACCCAUAAAAGUGUAAGUACACUACUGGCCGGGUACAGUAGCUCACACCUGUAAUCCUAGCACUUUGAGAGGCUAAGCCAGGAGGAUUGCUUGAGGCCAGGAGUUUGAGAUCAGCCUGGGCAACAUAGCAAGACCCUGUUUCU